CGUGGGUAACCUGCCCAAGAGAUCGGGAUAACACCUGGAAACAGAUGCUAAUACCGGAUAACAACGGAUGAUGCCUAUCAACUGUUUAAAAGAUGGUUCUGCUAUCACUCUUGGAUGGACCUGCGGUGCAUUAGCUAGUUGGUAGGGUAACGGCCUACCAAGGCGAUGAUGCAUAGCCGAGUUGAGAGACUGAUCGGCCACAUUGGGACUGAGACACGGCCCAAACUCCUACGGGAGGCAGCAGCA
RNAcentral lists this ribosomal RNA (246 nucleotides) under uncultured Lactobacillus sp. Its description in RNAcentral is "partial 16S ribosomal RNA". It matches the Rfam family "Bacterial small subunit ribosomal RNA", at positions 116 to 355 of the family's 1533-position model. The record is from RNAcentral. Lineage: Bacteria; Bacillati; Bacillota; Bacilli; Lactobacillales; Lactobacillaceae.